GACGAACGCUGGCGGCGUGCCUAAUACAUGCAAGUCGAGCGCAGGAAACUGACGGAACUCUUCGGAGGGAAGGCAGUGGAAUGAGCGGCGGACGGGUGAGUGACACGUAAGGAACCUGCCUCAAGGAUUGGGAUAACUCCGAGAAAUCGGAGCUAAUACCGGAUAGUUCAACGGACCGCAUGGUCCGCUGAUGAAAGGCGCUCCGGUGUCACCUUGAGAUGGCCUUGCGGUGCAUUAGCUAGUUGGUGGGGUAACGGCCCACCAAGGCGACGAUGCAUAGCCGACCUGAGAGGGUGAUCGGCCACACUGGGACUGAGACACGGCCCAGACUCCUACGGGAGGCAGCAGUAGGGAAUCUUCCACAAUGGACGAAAGUCUGAUGGAGCAACGCCGCGUGAGUGAUGAAGGUUUUCGGAUCGUAAAACUCUGUUGUAAGGGAAGAACACGUACGAGAGGAAAUGCUCGUACCUUGACGGUACCUUACGAGAAAGCCACGGCUAACUACGUGCCAGCCGCCGCGGUAA
This 524-nucleotide ribosomal RNA is filed under the name uncultured bacterium. RNAcentral's name for it is "partial 16S ribosomal RNA". It matches the Rfam family "Bacterial small subunit ribosomal RNA", at positions 28 to 523 of the family's 1533-position model. The record is from RNAcentral.